RNAcentral lists this ribosomal RNA (299 nucleotides) under uncultured bacterium. Its description in RNAcentral is "partial 16S ribosomal RNA". It matches the Rfam family "Bacterial small subunit ribosomal RNA", at positions 333 to 646 of the family's 1533-position model. The record is from RNAcentral.
GGGGGCCUACGGGGCGCAGCAGUGGGGAAUAUUGGGCAAUGGGCGCAAGCCUGACCCAGCAACGCCGCGUGAAGGAAGAAGGCUUUCGGGUUGUAAACUUCUUUUCUCAGGGACGAAGCAAGUGACGGUACCUGAGGAAUAAGCCACGGCUAACUACGUGCCAGCAGCCGCGGUAAUACGUAGGUGGCAAGCGUUAUCCGGAUUUACUGGGUGUAAAGGGCGUGUAGGCGGGAAAGCAAGUCGGCUGUGAAAACCAUGGGCUCAACCUGUGGCCGGCAUUUGAAACUGUUUUUCUUGAG